This 106-nucleotide ribosomal RNA is filed under the name Otolemur garnettii (small-eared galago). The record is from RNAcentral. Lineage: Eukaryota; Metazoa; Chordata; Mammalia; Primates; Galagidae.
GUCUACGACCAUACCACCCUGAACGCCCGAUCUCGUCUGAUCUCCGAAGCUAAGCAGGGUCGGGCCUAGUUAGUACUUGGAUGGGAGAACUAUACUGUUUGAGAGA